RNAcentral lists this ribosomal RNA (510 nucleotides) under uncultured Desulfobulbus sp. Its description in RNAcentral is "bacterial SSU rRNA". It matches the Rfam family "Bacterial small subunit ribosomal RNA", at positions 903 to 1382 of the family's 1533-position model. Lineage: Bacteria; Pseudomonadati; Thermodesulfobacteriota; Desulfobulbia; Desulfobulbales; Desulfobulbaceae. The record is from RNAcentral.
CGCCUUGCCAGCCCGCUCAGAAACUCAAAGGAAGUUGACGGGGCCCGCACAAGCGGUGGAGUAUGUGGUUAAUUCGAUGCAACGCGAAGAACCUUACCUGGUCUUGACAUCCCGGAGACCCUUAGGAAACUAGGGGGUGCUUCCAUCUGGAAGAAUCUGGAGACAGGUGCUGCAUGGCUGUCGUCAGCUCGUGUCGUGAGAUGUUGGGUUAAGUCCCGCAACGAGCGCAACCCUUGCCUUUAGUUGCCAGCAGUUCGGCUGGGCACUCUAAAGGGACUGCCGGUGUUAAACCGGAGGAAGGUGGGGAUGACGUCAAGUCCUCAUGGCCUUUAUGACCAGGGCUACACACGUACUACAAUGGCCGAUACAAAGGGCAGCGACACUGCGAGGUGAAGCCAAUCCCGUAAAAUCGGUCUCAGUCCGGAUUGGAGUCUGCAACUCGACUCCAUGAAGUUGGAAUCGCUAGUAAUCGUGGAUCAGCAUGCCACGGUGAAUACGUUCCCGGGCCUU